This is a long non-coding RNA of Micropterus dolomieu (smallmouth bass), 248 nucleotides long. RefSeq lists it as uncharacterized. The transcript is spliced from 4 exons. NCBI's taxonomy places the organism in Eukaryota, Metazoa, Chordata, Actinopteri, Centrarchiformes, Centrarchidae. The record is from RefSeq and is a predicted model, not a curated record.
GUUCACCAUCUGCCACAAGACUGAGGUGAUCAAGAACAAUCUGAACCCUGUUUGGCAGCCGUUUACCAUCCCUGUUCGAGCACUCUGUAAUGGAGACUACGACAGGACAGUCAAGGUGGACGUUUAUGAUUGGGAUAGAGAUGGGAGUCAUGACUUUAUCGGAGAGUUCACCACCAGCUACAGAGAGCUUUCCAGAGGCCAAAGCCAGUUUAAUGUCUACGAGGUUUUGAAUCCUAAAAAGAAAGGCA